AGGCAAUCAUAUAUACCUACCGAGGAAGGAUGGAAAGCUACACAGGAGAGUGAUUUUUACUAAGGAGGAUGUGCUGACCGAGAUGCAUGCUGGCCAUUUCAGAGUGAAGCGCAUGAUUGGCAAAACCAACCUACGUUUCUUCUGACGGGGAAUUGUCAAGGAGGUGGACAGCUGGGAUGAGACUUGCGAGGCCACCUCCAAGGCGAUGGUGGACAUUUUCAACAUCUGACCCCCAGGGGGAAUCCUGUCCACCAGAACCAGUGAGUUCGGAUCAGUCUGAUUCUCUGUGCUCUGAGCCGGAGGGGAACCAGCAUGAGGACCUAGGGGUUCUGCCCAACACCCAGACGUGGAUCUACCUGAUGUCCUCCAUUACCAACCACCCUCCAACUUUUCAUUACAUCAUCUACAGCUACAGUUGUUGACAUGUUGUCAUUAUCUGCUAAAAUAAUCUGCUCUAUCAUACCGAGCACAUAAUAUGUGAGAUACACAGAUGAACUAAAAACACUAGCACUGCAAACACUCAAAACAAAGAGAGCAGCAGUGCCUGGACUUUGCAGUCUCCCUCUUCAAGUCCCCCUUCUGAGACUGGCUGCCUGUUGAGAACAAGUGACAGGCAGAAUCUCACAACCACCUCCUCUAUAUUCCAAACACCAGAAUUCAGUAUUUUUGUCUAUGAUUGCCAUCUGAGUGCACAACAAAUCUGUG
Oncorhynchus tshawytscha (Chinook salmon) is the source of this 705-nucleotide long non-coding RNA. Lineage: Eukaryota; Metazoa; Chordata; Actinopteri; Salmoniformes; Salmonidae. The record is from Ensembl.